GUACCGUCAGGCCUAACGUGUAUUAUACGUUAGGAGGUUCUUCCCCUCUGACAGAGCUUUACGACCCAAGAGCCUUCAUCACUCACGCGGUAUUGCUGCGUCAGGCUUUCGCCCAUUGCGCAAAAUUCCCCAC
RNAcentral lists this ribosomal RNA (133 nucleotides) under uncultured bacterium. RNAcentral's name for it is "partial 16S ribosomal RNA". The record is from RNAcentral.